AACGAACGCUGGCGGCGCGCUUAACACAUGCAAGUCGAACGAGAAGGCGUAGCAAUACGCUUGUAGAGUGGCGAACGGGUGAGUAAUACGUGGGUGACCUACCCUCGAGUGGGGAAUAACCCGCCGAAAGGCGGGCUAAUGCCGCGUACGCUUCCGUCCUCACGGGGACGGAAGGAAAGCUGUACCGUGGGUACGGCGCUCAAGGAUGGGCUCACGUCCUAUCAGCUUGUUGGUAGGGUAACGGCCACCAAGGCUACGACGGGUAGCUGGUCUGAGAGGACGAUCAGCCACACUGGCACUGCGACACGGGCCAGACUCCUACGGGAGGCAGCAGUGAGGAAUAUUGCGCAAUGGGCGAAAGCCUGACGCAGCGACGCCGCGU
This 382-nucleotide ribosomal RNA is filed under the name uncultured bacterium. RNAcentral's name for it is "bacterial SSU rRNA". It matches the Rfam family "Bacterial small subunit ribosomal RNA", at positions 29 to 402 of the family's 1533-position model. The record is from RNAcentral.